Molecule: ribosomal RNA, 512 nt
Filed under: Pinnularia sp.
Lineage: Eukaryota; Bacillariophyta; Bacillariophyceae; Sellaphorales; Pinnulariaceae
Description: partial 28S ribosomal RNA
Rfam family: Eukaryotic large subunit ribosomal RNA
Source: RNAcentral
AAAAGAAACUAACAAGGAUUGACGUAGUAAGGGCGACUGAACUGUCAAGAGCUCACCGUGUGAAUCAGCGUGCGCAAGUGCGCCGAAUUGUGGUUUGGAGGUGUGUGCACUAUUGCGCAGGGCAAAGUCCCUUGGAAGAGGGCAGCAUAGAGGGUGAUACUCCCGUUUGCCUUGUGCUUGGAGCGUAUACCAAUGAGUCGAGUUGUUUGGGAUUGCAGCUCAAAGCCGGUGGUAAAUUCCAUCGAAAGCUAAAUAUUGGUGGGAGACCGAUAGCGCACAAGUACCGUGAGGGAAAGAUGCAAAGAACUUUGAAAAGAGAGUUAAAGAGUGCCUGAAAUUGCUGAGAAGGAAGCGAAGGAAAGUAGUGAGAAGCUGCGUCAUACUUCCUGACCUGCUUGCUGGUCGGGCGCUGUGGUCAGCGAGGUUCAGCUCGGUUCGGUUGAUGUAAGUUGCAGCAGCAGCAGAAUGUUGCAGCUGCUUGACGUUGGCUGGACUGGGAGGAACGAAAUGGU